This 372-nucleotide ribosomal RNA is filed under the name uncultured bacterium. RNAcentral's name for it is "bacterial SSU rRNA". It matches the Rfam family "Bacterial small subunit ribosomal RNA", at positions 527 to 898 of the family's 1533-position model. The record is from RNAcentral.
GUAGGGUGCAGGCGUUAAUCGGAAUUACUGGGCGUAAAGCGUGCGCAGGCGGCUUCCUAAGUCAGAUGUGAAAUCCCCGGGCUUAACCUGGGAACUGCGUUUGAAACUGGGAGGCUAGAGUGCGGCAGAGGGGGGUGGAAUUCCACGUGUAGCAGUGAAAUGCGUAGAUAUGUGGAGGAACACCGAUGGCGAAGGCAGCCCCCUGGGCCUGCACUGACGCUCAUGCACGAAAGCGUGGGGAGCAAACAGGAUUAGAUACCCUGGUAGUCCACGCCCUAAACGAUGUCGACUAGUUGUUGGGGGAGUCUGUCCCUCAGUAACGUAGCUAACGCGUGAAGUCGACCGCCUGGGGAGUACGGUCGCAAGAUUAAA